This 253-nucleotide ribosomal RNA is filed under the name uncultured bacterium. RNAcentral describes it as "partial 16S ribosomal RNA". It matches the Rfam family "Bacterial small subunit ribosomal RNA", at positions 524 to 776 of the family's 1533-position model. The record is from RNAcentral.
UACGGGGGGGGCAAGCGUUGUUCGGAAUUACUGGGCGUAAAGGGCGCGUAGGCGGUUCGAUAAGUCAGCUGUGAAAACCAUGGGCUUAACUCAUGGCCUGCAGUUGAGACUGUCGGGCUGGAGUGUGGGAGAGGAGAGUGGAAUUCCUGGUGUAGCGGUGAAAUGCGCAGAUAUCGGGAGGAACACCCGUGGCUAAGGCGGCUCUCUAGUACGGUACUGACGCUGAGACGCGAAAGCGUGGGGAGCGAACAGG